AUUGAACGCUGGCGGCAUGCUUUACACAUGCAAGUCGAACGGCAGCGCGGGCUUCGGCCUGGCGGCGAGUGGCGAACGGGUGAGUAAUACAUCGGAACGUGCCCAGUAGUGGGGGAUAGCUCGGCGAAAGCCGGAUUAAUACCGCAUACGACCUGAGGGUGAAAGCGGGGGAUCUUCGGACCUCGCGCUAUUGGAGCGGCCGAUGGCAGAUUAGCUUGUUGGUGGGGUAAAGGCCUACCAAGGCGACGAUCUGUAGCUGGUCUGAGAGGACGACCAGCCACACUGGGACUGAGACACGGCCCAGACUCCUACGGGAGGCAGCAGUGGGGAAUUUUGGACAAUGGGCGAAAGCCUGAUCCAGCAAUGCCGCGUGUGUGAUGAAGGCCUUCGGGUUGUAAAGCACUUUUGGCGGGAACGAAAAGGACUGUGCCAAUACCACGGUUCGAUGACGGUACCCGCAGAAUAAGCACCGGCUAACUACGUG
Molecule: ribosomal RNA, 484 nt
Filed under: uncultured bacterium
Lineage: Bacteria
Description: partial 16S ribosomal RNA
Rfam family: Bacterial small subunit ribosomal RNA
Source: RNAcentral